CCUACGGGAGGCAGCAGUGAGGAAUAUUGGUCAAUGGACGAGAGUCUGAACCAGCCAAGUAGCGUGAAGGAUGACUGCCCUAUGGGUUGUAAACUUCUUUUAUAUGGGAAUAAAAUGUUCCACGUGUGGGAUUUUGUAUGUACCAUAUGAAUAAGGAUCGGCUAACGCCGUGCCAGCAGCCGCGGUAAUACGGAGGAUCCGAGCGUUAUCCGGAUUUAUUGGGUUUAAAGGGAGCGUAGGUGGAUUGUUAAGUCAGUUGUGAAAGUUUGCGGCUCAACCGUAAAAUUGCAGUUGAAACUGGCAGUCUUGAGUACAGUAGAGGUGGGCGGAAUUCGUGGUGUAGCGGUGAAAUGCUUAGAUAUCACGCAGAACUCCGAUUGCGAAGGCAGUUCACUGGACUGCAACUGACACUGAGGCUCGAAAGUGUGGGUAUCAAACAGGAUUAGAUACCCGUGUAGUC
Molecule: ribosomal RNA, 460 nt
Filed under: uncultured bacterium
Lineage: Bacteria
Description: partial 16S ribosomal RNA
Rfam family: Bacterial small subunit ribosomal RNA
Source: RNAcentral